AGCAUACGAACAGAGUUGUUCAUCAUUUCCAUCUCAGCUCCUGCUAUGAGAAAGGAGGAGAACUAAAACCUGCAGAAACCUAAUUCUGAUUGCAAGAAUUUCAUGCCAAAUGCACAUAAUUUACUGCUGAUGCACUUAAAGGACUGUGGUGGCUAGAUAAGGCAGAUGUCACAGCCCAGAAAAACCCAGAAGAGGCUUUCAUCGUCGAGUCCUCUCUCACACCUAGGAAGAGGAAUAGCACAGGUGUUUGAGAGAAGYGGUGGCUGUGAGAAAAUGACUUUCCUAUGAACUGUGAGAAAGAAACAGCUGAGUUCAUGAUGGGUGGAUCCUCCUUUCCCCGACUAGAGUCAGGAUCAGCCUUCUUCCCCAGGGAGUGGUAAUUUGUUUCAGUGAAAUGCAGAUUUCAAGGGACGCCCCGAUUACAAGGGAGAUCGUGUUUCAGGUAAUAUGGGCUUCUUCUCCUUUUAUUCCCAKCUUCUACAGUCCUCUCUCCCCUCCAGUUUUCUUUUUCCACUUGUCCUCUGCCAGUCUCCUCUCCUGGGGUCUGUCCCUGCUCCUGUGGAGUUACAUUUCAGUCCUUGCAGUGAUUUGGAUGAUAUUACAUCAGGYCUCAUGUCGUGUUCUGGGUGAGAAAGCAAGACAGUAAAUCUCUGCUGUAUUUAACAGCCCMAUUAUGAUUUUGUGUAACCCACAUCUCUUGGCGGUCUGUUUUUCCCGGAGAACUAGGGAGGGGCAGGGAAGGAAGAGGCAGAACUGCUGAACAAAACCCCACAGCAGCCUUUUUGGCGUCGUUUGUGAAGGAAAGGGGAGGSAACAAGAGAGAGAUCCUAAUCUUAAUAUGAAUGAGGUGCUCCCAUCCAGCAGUGGUGGGUGGGGACUGAAAUGCUCGAUAGCUGGGGAGAUUAGGCAGAUUGUUUGCAGCGAGAUGGAUAGAUGGAAAAGAGCAGGAAAGRCUCAAGGAGAGGCUGAAGCAGAAGGGUGUGAGCUGAGAUGGAAGCAGGUGAGCACCUCCCCACGUGCCUGCGGCACAGAAAUCACCUUCUGCUGCCAAGGAGRGGGAAUGUGCAGGGGAGGCAUUCAUCCUUUAUUGCAGGUGCUGAUUACAGCUGACCCUCUGCUCCGGGUUCCUUCCACUCUUUGUCAGCUCCAGGCACUGAGGAUGUUGCUGAGCCUUUUCUGGCUCUUGCUGGCCGUGCUUGGCUGACAGAUUUUCAAGUAGCCAAAAUCCCACUGCUGCCUGCACUCCUGCAAACACAGGGUGGUGACAACAGGGGUCACAUCCCGGUGGCACAAUCACCGACUGCAAAAAUCAUAUUUAUAACUCUGACAGCUUUUCCCUGCCCUGCCAGAUCGACUCAGAGGUUACAUCAGACUUGUGUCCAUGCAGAGUCAGUCCCCUGUGCUUUACAGGGACCAUUUAGUGGGUUGGAGAUGCUGCUGCAGAGGACAACUCGUUCUUGUGGUGACCAGCAGCAGAGCAAUGUGCCUGUUGUUAGCUGGUUGUGUGCUGUUUAUCAGCUGUGGAUGGKGCUGUCCUGAGUGCAGAGCACACCAGAACCUGAGGCUGGAGGAAAUGAUGCUCCAGAAAGUGAAGGAGAGGGCUGGUGUGAGAGUGGAGACACAAGGGAAGACCUGGCAGCAAGACGAGGUAAGGCCAGGUCAAGCCAGAGCCUUCCGUCAAACGGCCUUUGUCACCUGGCAGCAGCAAUCCUCCAAGCCCUUUUUAUUUUAGCUCUUCUGUUGAAUUACUUUCAGCAAACACAGGUGAACCAAAACAACCGUGCCUUUUGCCCCGGGUUUGGCUCAGGGAGCUGGCUCCCCUCUGGCGAGUGUCCACCAGGGCAGCUUGUGCCUGCCCUGCACGUGCGCUCCUCGCCGAGCCCUGCAGGAACCUGGAGGGGCUCAAAUCCCACACCUUGGCCCCAAAUAAAGCACUUGAUCAUGUACAUCAGCAGCUGUGGGGUGUGUCCUUGCAGAGCAGCCUGUCCAAGGGUUAGGGGGAUGAUCAGGGACAGGGGCUGGGGCUUUCCUCCUGUCCUGCCACUCUGUCACARUUAAAGGAGCCCACAAAGCGUUCCCAUCUCCUGUCCUGGAGCAUUUGGCCCCAGGAAGGUCCUUCAGGGCUUGUCAGUCCCAAGUCACGACUCAGGUCUGAGCCUCCAGGACAUGAGGGCUGCACCUUGGCUGAGACCAGAGGUUUCUGGCUCUUGGCCAGGAGGAACCAGAUAAUGACCCUUGGAAAGCUGGCACAGCAAUUUCUUGUGAAAUCGCAGCUGUUGGUGAGGCUGCUGCCUGCAGACCCAGGUGACACUGCCCAGGGCCUGGAGCAUCUGCCCUGUGCCCAUCUCAUUCCAGGCUGUAAAUGCUGAGAGAGACCCUCCUCACACCCCUGUGCCUGCCAGCAGCAAGGGGACAGCCCAGGGGAGCUGGGAGCAUGGCCAGAGCCCCAGGGAUUUAAAUAAAACACGUCUAGACCUCUGAAUUGACAGCUCUCUUCUCCUCCUGGCUCCUUUCAUCUCAAGGAAAGGAAACCAAUUUCCUUUGCAAAGUAAUCUGAGCUCCAGGAGUUAAAAGUGGUGUUUAAAGAGCUCGGUGGUGAUGUUGCACAAGGAGCUUGCAGGCUGGAGAAAGCUCUGCCUCAGUGUGUAAAAACUAGGCUAAUAAUGUUUUCCUGCCUCACACAAGCUGUGUGAGAGUUAAUUAAUUUUAAAAGCAGCUUGAAACACAGUCACAACGUAGGUGCUAAGUUUUAUUUAUUAAUAUUCCAUAUUCAAAAUACAAGACUAAUUACUUAUGUGCAUGGCAAAGAGUGCAUUUCUGUGCUAGUAAUUCAAUUUUAAUGGUUUAGGUGGUACUUUYAUUGAGCUGUACUCAAAAACAAAAAUGUUGCAUUAGGUAAAAAUUGUGUGUAGGUCUCUCAUUAAGUGUUAUCUUUAUUAUACUGAUUUAAAAUMAUUUCAUGCUGAAUUUGUCAAGACCAAACAUCUGGCUUUUGCUGUAGCACACGAUGCUUCCUGGAUUGGCUGUGUAGUUUUCUGAGCUGGGGAUGUAGAGAUCUUCCAUGAGCAUUGAUAGGGAUUCAAAGAUAAACUCUCAUCAGAGGGUUUUCUCCCUGGGUAUCACAUGCUGAUGUUUUAACCCCUCUACAGUCGGACCAUAUUUUCAGAGCUCUAACAAGCUUACAAACAAAAUAGUGGGAUCUUUCAAAAAUGUAUUUCUCUGUGUGUGUCAAUGGCUUAGAGAAUUCAUCCCAGUUUCCCAUGCUGUGUGGUAGCAAUUUGUACAUAUUUGUAUAUAAUUUAGGGUGGCCUGGCUCUAUGUGGAGCCCCUGGAUGCCCUGGUAGUGAAUAAGUUUCCACUCUAGGGAAAAAGAAAUAAACAAAAAAAACCAAACAACAUUUAAGAAUAUCAGAAAUUAAAAUUAAAAGAAAAAAUUCUUUAGAAUAUUUUCUCCCUGCUGAGUCUGAUGGAGAGUUCAGGGAACACCCUGGAAAGCCUAGCUAUGGUGAAAUUUUAUGGAUAUGCCCUCUAAAUAUAUAAGAGAUGUAAAAAGGGUCCUCUGCUUCAACCUAUCCAGGAACUGCAGUAACUCUGACAUUUCCUAGUGCUUCAAGCACAUCACAACAAGGAUUUUCACUAAAGAUGGUAGAUACAGACACCAAAAGUSACAUUUUCUCCCCUCCACUUUGAAGCUUGUCCAAAUUGCAGCUCAGUGAGGCUGUCACCAGAGUUAUUUAAAAUGUAAAUGCAUUGGAAGUGAAAUGGCMUCAGUUUGGGUGAUUUUUUAAAGAUAAGUAAGUCACAGUGGAGAAAACCUGGYAAUGCACAAAGUUCAAAGUUGGUCUUUGCAUGAGAGCAAAGGAGCCAUGGGAAGGGCAACUCAAAAUUAUGAGCAGAAAUUGGAGAGGUGCCCACUGUGAUAGUYUGAGCUCAGCUUAGAAGCAGAUAAAGACAGAAAGUUAAUUUUUAACUUAAAGUUUUGCGCAUUAAGAGACGUGUUAUAUUUCCUUGUGAUGCAGUAUAAUGAGAAACAGAAUUAUUAUUUAGUGAUUUCACUUUUUUUUUUCUCAAAUAUAUGAAUCUGAGGCUUGUGUGCUGUUUGCCACUGGAUUGAUGUCUGCCUCACCCACAUUUUGCCACUGCUUUUGUGGGAAUUGCUGUUUGCUGCCAGAUAAAUUCAUAUUAUUACUGGGUCUCCUUUGGCUAUGCACAGGGUAAAGGGGGGURGCAACAGGCAGAUUCUCGCCAUCCUGGAUGAAAAUUCCAUUUGCUGAUGGUAGAUAUUCCACCCUUUCCCUCCAACUGAAGUCUCCCAUGGGCUCAAGGGAGCUUCCACUGCCCAAUGCCCCCACCAGCCCCUCUCAAUUCCUUGGUGCCUGGKUUGGGAUGGGGAAUUUCCAUCCAAGGGACAUAUUAGACUCUUCUUUCUAAUGGGCUGAUGUGCAUUUUCCUUAUUGAAAUUAUGUUUUCCCCUUUAACUCGUGGUUUUUGUAGGCUUCCUUUCCACCUYGUGUGUGUACUGUGUGCUGGAAAAGAAACCUUUAAACGGUUUGAAGCUGCUGCUGGCUGUAAAAUAACUGGAGCUGACAGUGGGCUUGCACAAGCACGGAGCUGUAAAUCAGUGAAAUGUAUUGCACAUAAUUUCCUGGUGCCUGCUSUCCUUGGGAGCAGAUCCCUGCUGGGAUGAAUGUCAUCACAGCGUGCGAGCUCCUGGAUUUGAUGCUUCUUUUGU
This is a long non-coding RNA of Malurus melanocephalus (red-backed fairy wren), 4732 nucleotides long. RefSeq lists it as uncharacterized. NCBI's taxonomy places the organism in Eukaryota, Metazoa, Chordata, Aves, Passeriformes, Maluridae. The transcript has 4 exons. The record is from RefSeq and is a predicted model, not a curated record.